AUGGUUUCUAUAACUGCAUGUUGUUUUUCUUCCUCAGGUGGUGACUAUAGACUAGAUCCUGCUUCCCAAAACCUUGAUGAUGACUCCACUUUAAAUUUUGACCAGGGAGAGGCUUUUGCUGAACAGCUCUCUGGCCUGAUCCCUCCAGCUUAUAUCCAACCUCUAAUAGCCCAGCCACCAAGGAUGGUCCCACUUAAACUGGAGACCGUGUAUCCUCAUAGUGAUGAUGAGAUAGUGAAAAUUCUUAAUGGUGUGUCAAGACAAUGGGAGUCGAACCUUCUUGACCCGAUCAUAUUUCCUUUACCACUUGGUAACCCAAUUGUGUUCCAGCCUCAGUCUGCUCCAAUUUUUUAUCCAAGUGAAAACACCAUCUCAUUGAUCACUGGUCAAACUCUUCCACAUCGAAGCCCAACAUCUGCCCAGUCCUCUCCCUAUGAAGCUGCAUCGUAUCAGUUUUGGCAACCUGCAAGUACCAUGGCAGCUGGAUCUCCCUAUGGUUCCCUGUACCAGCAGCUCUACACUGGUUCCAGUCAAAGAGGCGACUCCAGUAAGCCUGCUGUCCAAGUCCUUCUGAACAGACUUCCAGGUGUUUCUGAAGAGCCUCUGUCAACCUCAAACGUGGUGGGAUUCGUGUGGCCUCCAGCAAUAUACGGUCCUGUUUCAGUCCAAAUGCCAGCCGGUGUUCCUCGUAUGAAUGCCAAACCUCCUGUGUCUUUUAACACUGCAGAACAGUCUGGUCACACUGGUAAGACUGGUAAUGCUCUUGGGCGGAAACUCCCAGCUCAACCUCGAGCAGCAGGCCGAUCUUUCAAGAAAAACUUUCAAGUCUCUAACGUCGCCAAUGAGAUCCCAUACUUGGGUAAAACAAGCCAAUGGCCACAGAAGUUUGUCUUCCCAGAGAAGUACUGGGUUCCUCAGAUGAGAAUCCCCUCAAGAGCGAGCCAGCCUGUCAGUUCUCAACCACUUCGGAAGAGCUUUGUUGUCCGUUCUAAAAAUGCUUACCAACGCAAGAGGUUCCUGCAAACCAAAACCACUUAUAUUCCUAAAUACGAAUUCUCAAAGAUGAACUAUGCCAACUCUCCAGAAGAAACUGCACCAACCCCAGCCAGAAAACCUGUGCAACAUGGAUCCAUCUCAGAAAAUGUAGGAAAAACUUCAAGAAUGGCCUGCCUUCAGGGGAAUGAAUGCAUGAAAUAAAGUCUUUUACAUUGAAUCUUUGCAGAUGAGUGGGUAUUAAUGUGAUUCCUAAAUGAUUACAUUUAUUAUACAGCUUUAAAGUGCCUUACCUUGGCAUUGAAAUCCUUGUUUCCCAAAUCCCCUGGAAUAAAGACAAAAGAUUUAAACCUAGACAUUGAAACAAAUCUAUAGGACAAAAAAAAUUAAAACUAUCCUUCAAAUUCAGCAGCUCACCAUAUGAAAUCCGUACAGUGGCUACAGAACGUCGGCUGCUUGAAGAAUCUCGCAGUAAACUUGUGGUUUUUCACUUCGUGCACGUUCUUCUGCCGCAACGCUCCUUUCCGGGCGAAUCUGUUCCCAACCCCUGUCGAGUCAUUGUAAUGUAGGAGAUGCUCGGCCAUCAUGGGGGCAAAAAUAAAAGUUAAAAGACCUAACUAGAAGUCCCGACCGACGUCGGUGAUGCUGCUGACGCGUUUGGUCCUCUCCUCUCUCCCUCAGCUCUACAGCUGAGCGCUUUCUCAUUCAAAGUGACGUAACGUGGUGGAGACGCCUGUUUCUACGUACGGGGGAAUAAUUACGCUAACAAUCUUACUACUACACACCCUCAUGUGAGAUAUAAGUACGCAAUGGGAAAACCAAGUAAACUUAAUUAAACUACUGGUCUUUUGAUGGACAAGCUUUGACGUAUUAACAUGUAAUCUGUUAAAAUUGUUAACAUUCAAAAAGCUAAAACAGUCUUAAUUUAAAGCUAAUUAAUUUAGAGAAUUUCUAGAUUAUUCCUGGCUAGAUAAAAUGAGGACAAGAGCCGUGUGGGUUGUAAACUACAGGAGCAGUGCGCCAUCUAGUGGACGCAAAGGUCAACUGACGAGUCUACUUGAAUCUCGUGUUAAAUUGAGAUUUUACAACUUUUAUGUGAUCAAUUUGGUACUUGGAAGUUUUUUUUCAAAGAUCUCAAGUUGUCACUACGAACAAACUUUUUUCUGUUAUUUGCUUUUGAAUAAGUUUGAAUACAAAUAGGCUUAAAUUAAUGAGUAAAAUGAGGGUGCAUGAAAUGCCUCAACAUUCACUUACUUUAUGCAGAUCUGCCAUCACUAAUAUGUUGAGUUUUGAUGCUGAAAGCCAUAAAACUGUUAUAAUCUGAGAUUUGAUUAUAGCUGUACAAGUGUUCCCUGUGAUGGACCGAAGACCUGUCCAGCGUGUCCCUGGUCUCUCACCUGUCGACGGUUGGAGAUAGAUACCAGCUCCCCAAACUCUAUUGAGGAAAAAGCAGUACAGGAUAUGAGUGUAUAGUUUUUCUCCACAAAUCUAAUGAGUAAGUCUUGUGGUGAAGAUGUAAUAUUGAUUGUAGUGUAAUUGGAAAUGCAUCAAAAUGUUUAUUUUUCCUCAGGAAGUUAAAAGAGUUAGGCUACUUCACAAUUAUUCAGGACAGCUAUACUGACCGCUUUCCACACUCGACUUCUUUCUUCUACAAUUUGCUCUUUAACUGUAUUAUUUCCUGCUAUUUCAGCUGUUAAGUUUAUUUUUUCUAUAAGCGGUUUUGUCUCCCCAGAAGAAGCUACAAUGAUGUUCUGCUGAGCUGUGGUAGCCUCAUGGAGGGGGCCAUUGGCUUGAACACUGCUGCUAACCACUUAAACAUUCUCCCUCUCCUGAUAAUAACAUUUUACUGUCUUUUCAAUUGAAUGUGCUACUACUAGUUUACUCGUUUAAUUAUAGAUUCACUAGGAUAAAUACAAUAAAGUUUAUCUCUCACCAAAUAGAGUAUUUACUAAGAAAUCACAAUGUAACCAUAGAAACGCUACUUGGUAUAUAUGUUGGGGGGAGGGGGGGGGGGGCUCUGUCUUCUCGAUCCCCAGUGAGUCGUGACGGAUGGCUGCUUAUAUUGAGCUAGGAUCCUCUGGAGGUUUCUUCCUGUUAAAAAUGAGUUUUCCUCUCCACUGUCACUGCAUGCUUGCUUAGUAUGAGGAUUGCUGUAAAGUCACUGACACUAGUCAGUGACUUGAUGCAAUUUGCUGGGUUCCGUAUAUAGGAAACUUUUUACUGAUUGGCUUAAUGAACUGACCUGUAUUCUAAUGUUUACUGUGUGAAGUGCCUUGAGAAGAAUCUUGUUGUGAUUUGGCGCUUUAUAAAUAAAAUUGAAUUGAAUUGUUCAAACAGUACUCCAUUUCAUAUUGCUGUGUCCAGACAUCUAGAGAGAAAUCCUAACACCUUAGUCACAGUUUGGGACAGCAAUAGCUCAGGAGCAGGGGUGCCUCCAGAAAAUUUUAAGGGGUGGCCGCCGGCCGGACAGGGCCGAAGACAUUUUUGGGGUGGCACACUAUAUUGGUCCUUGUGGUAACUCUGGGAGAACUUAGCCUGUGGCAAUGUAUUGCAUUGCUACUUUAUUUUUUAUUUUUUUAAAACAGUACGUACGUGGCCAAAAAAAUGUCACUUAAAUUUUACAAACACAAACAUUUCUGAAAAAUAAAUUUCAUUAAUUUGAAAUGUUAUUUCAACUUUUAUUUUAAAAUGUAUUUAUUUAUUUCACCUGUUGCUGUGUUCACAAAAAACUAUGAAGAUAAAAACAUUUUUAAUAUGUGAGCAGCAAAAACAUAUGCCUUAUUUUUCAUUCUGAUUGUUUCUUUAUUCAAUAAUUGUAUUAUUUUUUAUUUUAUUUUGCAUUUGUGUCUUGAAUAAAUAAGAUCAAUUUAUGAAUUCAGGGAACAUUAACGUUACUGUUCCCUGAAUUCAGCUAAUUUCCCUGGCCACCCUUUGGGGGCGCUAUUGCUCAGGAGAUGGAGCCAAUUGUCCAGUAAUCAGAAGGCUGCAGGAUCAAUCCCAGCUCCCUGCAGGGAACCCUGCCGCUAUGUCCACAAGCAUGACACCUCACCCAGCAAGGCCUGACUCAGAAAGGUGCUGUACAGAUGCAGGUCAUUUAUCAUUCAUCAUAAAGAACAAAAAAAAAGUUCUAGUUAUUUUGGUUAAAUGUCAAUGUUUUUUUAAUGAAAAAUUAUGUGAGGUAUUUAAGAGAAAUAUGUCUGGAAAUGUUGAAUUUCUCACUGAACAAAUCAGUGUUGCUCAGCUGACACACCUGUAAACAAUCAGCACUAAUUGCGCUUCUAAAAGCAGCUGGUAGCUGUCCUCGUUUAUAUUUAAAGAGCCCUAGAGGCAUCUCACUACAGGAAAAGGAUUUCUCUCAUGUCCAGGUCUAGUCUGUUCCAGAGAUCAGCCUCUGAAAAGUAGUGGGAGCUGCUUUUCAGCCAACAGUCAUGGGUCUUGUGCUCUUUUUGUG
Molecule: long non-coding RNA, 4444 nt
Organism: Nothobranchius furzeri (turquoise killifish)
Lineage: Eukaryota; Metazoa; Chordata; Actinopteri; Cyprinodontiformes; Nothobranchiidae
Source: Ensembl